AUGGCCCCAGGUGAUCCAGGACUGAUCCAGGACAGCCCCAACACUCCUGUGCCAUCCUGGCGCGCUACGAGGCGCGCCACGGGCAGAUCUGAGCGAUUUGGGGAGUUUGGGAUCCACCUGGAGGGAUUUGGGGUGACCUCAGGUGAUCCAGGACUGAUCCAGGUGAUCCAGGAUGGCCCCAGGUGAUCCAGGACUGAUCCAGGACAGCCCCAACACUCCUGUGCCAUCCUGGCGCGCUACGAGGCGCGCCACGGGCAGAUCUGAGCGAUUUGGGGAGUUUGGGAUCCACCUGGAGGGAUUUGGGGUGACCUCAGGUGAUCCAGGACAGCUCCAGGUGAUCCAGGAGUGCCCCAGGUGAUCCAGGACUGAUCCAGGACAGCCCCAACACUCCUGUGCCAUCCUGGCGCGCUACGAGGCGCGCCACGGGCAGAUCUGAGAGAUUUGGGGAGUUUGGGAUCCGCCUGGAGGGGUUUGGGAUGGCUCCAGGUGAUCCAGGACUGAUCCAGGAUGGCCCCAGGUGAUCCAGGAGUGCGUGGAUGGAUUUGGGGACAGUUGGGAGAGAUCUGGGACAGCUCCAGGCGAUCCAGGACAAUCCGGGAUCCCAGCCAGGAUCCGGGACCGGGCACAGCACCGGGAUUGCGAGCUGGAUCCAGAACCCAGUGGGGAGAUCCAGAACCAGGACCCAGAACCAGGAUCCAGUGGGGAGAUGCUGAACUGGGACCCAGUGAGGGGAUCCAGAAGCGGGGUCCUGGAUCAGGACCCAGUGAGAAGAUCCAGAACUGGGACCUGGAACCAGAAUCCAGUCAGAACCAGAACCAGAACCCAGUAACUGGAUCCCAAACUGGGACCCAGUGGGCAGAUCCAGAACCGGGAUCCAGUGAGGAGAUCCACGACUGGGACCCAGCACCAGAACCCAGUGGGGAGACGCUGAACUGGGACCCAGUGAUGGGAUCCAGAACCAGGAUCCCGAACCAGAACCCAGUGGGGAGAUCCAGCCCCGGGAUCCAGCACCAGGACCCAGCAGGGAGAACCAGAACCAGGAUCCAGAACCCAGUGGGUGGAUCCAGAACCAGGACCCAGAACCAGGAUCCAGUGAGGGGAUCCAGAACCGGGAUCCUGGAUCAGGACCCAGUGAGAAGAUCCAGCACUUGGAUCCCCUGAGGAGAUCCAGAACCAGGAUUCGGAACCAGAACCCAGUGAGAAGAUCCAGAGCCGGGAUCCAGCGGGGAGAUCCAGCACCGGGAUCAGAACCAGGAUCCAGAACUGGGGUCAGAACUGGUAUCCAGAACCGGGAUCCAGUGGGGAGAUCCAGAACAGGAUUGGGAACCAGAACCCAGUGAUGGGAUCCAGCACUGGGAACCAGAAUCGGGAUCUAGCUAGGAGAUCCAGGAUUGGGAUCCAGAGCCGGGAUCCAGCUAGGAGAUCCAGGAUUUGGAUCCAGCACCGGGAUCCAGUGAAGGGAACCAGAACCGGG
Pyrgilauda ruficollis (rufous-necked snowfinch) is the source of this 1474-nucleotide RNA transcript. RefSeq lists it as uncharacterized. The record is from RefSeq and is a predicted model, not a curated record. NCBI's taxonomy places the organism in Eukaryota, Metazoa, Chordata, Aves, Passeriformes, Passeridae. The transcript has 3 exons.